GCGGGAGGCGGAAGUUCCGCGGACCGCCGCCUCCGUCCCGGCUGCGGCCCCUGCCGGUUACAUAACUCGUUGCGGGCUUCACACGGCCCCGCUUCCGGCUCCUUGCGACCCCAGGAUGCGCUGAGUCCGACUACGCCGUCGACUGCCGCCGGCUCCCGCCCGAGGUACCCAGACUCAUGGUAUCGUGACAUCACCUCCAACAAGAAGUUCUUUUCUCUUGCUGCGACCUACAGGGGUGCCAUCGUGGGAAUGAUAGUAGCUGAAAUAAAAAGUAGGACCAAAAUACACAAGGAGGAUGGAGAUAUUCUAGCCUCCAACUUCUCUGUUGACACACAAGUUGCAUACAUUCUAAGCCUGGGAGUAGUGAAGGAAUUCAGGAAGCACGGCAUAGGUUCCCUUUUACUUGAGACUUUGAAGGAUCACAUAUCCACCACCGCCCAGGACCACUGCAAAGCCAUCUACCUGCACGUCCUCACCACUAACAACACAGCAAUAAACUUUUAUGAAAAUAGAGACUUUAAGCAGCACCACUAUCUCCCCUACUACUACUCCAUCCGUGGGGUCCUCAAAGAUGGCUUCACCUACGUCCUCUACAUCAAUGGUGGCCACCCUCCUUGGACCAUCCUGGACUACAUUCAGCACUUGGGCUCUGCGCUAGCAAACCUGAGCCCCUGCUCCAUCCCGCACAGGAUCUAUCGCCAGGCCCACAGUCUGCUCUGCAGCUUCCUGCCAUGGUCGAGCAUCUCCACCAAGGGCGGCAUCGAGUACAGCCGGACCAUGUGAUACCAGCCAGGCAGCCUCCAGCAGGUCCCACCCCUCGGCGCCCUGCGGAGCCCGCCUUCCUGGCCAUCUGACCUCAGCUGUCCUCUGCAGAGGAACUGGCCUGUCGGCCUGCCCCAGCUGCAGGCCCGGUGCUACGCGGGCUCAGGAGCAGAGCGUCGUGGGGCGGGCACGCCCAGUCUCUGACAGGCUUUUCCAGCCCUUCCUGCUUGCUCUAGAAAUCUCUGCCCCAUACCCUGGUUUGGCCCUCAUGUAAGUGCACCAGCCCCGCAGGCCGGCUGGGGUGUGGCAGCAUUCACUGUGGUCUGUUUCUUCUGCUGCCCCAGGAGCAAGGGGACAGGAAGGGGCUUCCUUCCCUGCACCUCCUCACUGGCCUCUUCCCCACCACCGCCUGUUCCUUUCAGCUCCUUCCUCCAAAGCCAGAAUGAACUUUUGGGAGGGAGGAAUCCAAGUGUUAUGGACAGAUUUGACCCUAAAGAAACAGGACCCUCAAAACAAAUGAGGGGGUGAAAUAAAGGGAAUGCCAGACCCUCAUCCAGAACCAGCCUGCAGAAGCCUGGGGGGCGGGGAGCAGCCUCCACCUCCUCACAAGGGGAAGGCUUUUCACCCAAGCAGAGUUCUGGGGCUCAGCUGCCUGACACGGGCAGUCAGAUCAUGGGAAGGUGUCCCCCUCCUCUGCUGGCAGUCCCACUGUCCGGGAAAGCGAGGAUCUGCCCACCAGAUAGUGGAUGAGCCAUUCAGCUGAACUGCUCCAGGGAGCCAGGCUGAGGACAAGUGCCAGUGUGGGUCCUGGGGGUCCUCUCCCCCAGCCCCCCAGUCCCAUGAGCUGCAGCUCCACGGUUUGGCCAGGUGCAAACAGGAAGAAGCUGAGUGUGGUGUUGAUCAAGUGGGAUCUGGCCUUUGGGGCUGGGGGCAGUCACGUGCCUUGUGGUCCCUCAGCCUCUGGGAACAGAGACAGGAGAGGCUAUGUCAGUGCCGAGAAGCAUGCGUGUGGACAUUACUUGCUUCUGGCAUCCCCCCUACCCCCAUCCCCCAAAGCUGCUUGCCACCUGCCCUGCCCUCCAGAGUUGAGGGGGUUGGCAGCGUCGUGUCCAGUGUCGCUGCAGUGUCACAUAGCCAUUGCCACAGUGCACUAGCCAGAGGAGGAGGAGAAGGGGGGACAACUGGGCAGGGGAGCCUUGGAGAUGCGUCCUUCCCUCCCUCAGAACUCCCAGCCUGGGGGCUCCUCUGGCCUCAUGGUGGGGGAAAGAGGUUCUCUAGAUGAAGGUGAGCCCUGGUAGGAAAAGCGUUCCUCCUCCCUUGGCCGCCUCAUGCUCUCAACUGCCUGGUCUCCACUUUGUGCUGAUAUUGGCAUCAAGCUCAGGCUCAGCUCACUGUCUUCUAAUCUGAAUCAACGAUGAUCAUGUAGUUUUUAUUUCUGCCCUGAGGGGUAAGGGACGAGUCUUCCAGAAAGUUCUGCCACGGACAUUCAUAAUUGAGCUGAGGCCUUGCCCUGCCCCUCCCUCCAUGCCCCAAUCACUGUCCAGCCCAGUGUUGAAUGGAUUGUAGUGUUUUGUCUCAUUACAAACAAAUAAAUAGACUGUAAUUGGUCA
Hipposideros armiger (great roundleaf bat) is the source of this 2372-nucleotide RNA transcript. It is a transcript of the gene named N-alpha-acetyltransferase 60, NatF catalytic subunit, with no coding region annotated. NCBI's taxonomy places the organism in Eukaryota, Metazoa, Chordata, Mammalia, Chiroptera, Hipposideridae. The record is from RefSeq and is a predicted model, not a curated record. The transcript is spliced from 6 exons.